This 253-nucleotide ribosomal RNA is filed under the name uncultured bacterium. RNAcentral describes it as "partial 16S ribosomal RNA". It matches the Rfam family "Bacterial small subunit ribosomal RNA", at positions 524 to 776 of the family's 1533-position model. The record is from RNAcentral.
UACGAAGGGGGCUAGCGUUGUUCGGAAUUACUGGGCGUAAAGCGCACGUAGGCGGACUACUAAGUCAGGGGUGAAAUCCCGGGGCUCAACCCCGGAACUGCCUUUGAUACUGGUAGUCUCGAGUCCGGAAGAGGUGAGUGGAAUUCCUAGUGUAGAGGUGAAAUUCGUAGAUAUUAGGAAGAACACCAGUGGCGAAGGCGGCUCACUGGUCCGGUACUGACGCUGAGGUGCGAAAGCGUGGGGAGCAAACAGG